Molecule: non-coding RNA, 4237 nt
Organism: Anas platyrhynchos (mallard)
Lineage: Eukaryota; Metazoa; Chordata; Aves; Anseriformes; Anatidae
Source: RefSeq, a predicted model, not a curated record
UAAAAGUUAUGUGUCAGGGUCAUGUGGCCUCCAUAGUCAGCAGUAGAAUCUCAGUUUUCAAUAGCUUUUCCUCUCCUUUCUCACUUUCAGAUUUAGCUCCAUAACUUAAUCUCUGACUAAAUGAGCUUCCCAGGGUUUCAGUGCAGCACUGUGGAAUUCACACAGCUUUUCCCCCUUUCCUCUGGCUGCCAGCAUGACAACCCGAAAUGCAUCUCAGGGACUGCUGCAUUUCCAGAAUAUGCAAAACCACUUCAUCUUCACCGCGCGACUCUGUGUAGCAAGGAUAAAUCAGAGAUUUGUAAAAGGAACUGCAUUUGAAGAAAGAAGGGAAAGUAUGUAUUGUGCUUGGAAAGUGAGAGGUAUCUGGCGUAAAUAUUCUUUGUCUUCAUAUCUGAAAACUUUUCACAGGAGAUGAGAAGUAACCCAGCUUCCCACAGCACUCUGCAGAUACAGCUUUUGCUACAAGCAGCCCACUUACCUAAAAUACCUGCUGGUGUAACCUGGCACUAGAGUUACCACCCCAAGGACCAACAAAAUCAACAUCUCCUCAAAUAGAUAUCACUCAAAACAGAAAAGCAUUUUUUGUUUGUUUGUUUUGUUUUUGUUGUUUUGUAAGGAGCUUCUUGAAACAAGCCAAACUUGUAUCCAUGCAAUGUUUGUACUACUCCAGCCCCAAGGAGCCAUUGUACCUCAUGCUCCUCCCUUAGGCCCUCAGAGAAGCAAGAUGUUUCUAACAGGCAGCUCGCUGAGAAAAAUUUGUAAGCAAUAAGCGUGGACAAGGACCUGUCUAACUCAACCAAACUCAGUAAGAGAUUUAGGGUAGGCACUGGUCCAUGUUUCACUCAGAAGAGCACUAAGCUGCAAGGGACACCCACUAAGUACCUCUCUGUUCUGUGCCAUACCACAGGGUACAUACACUAUUCAGAUUUCUAUUCUGCCCACCAAAAUAUUUGAAAUAAAGUUGUCAAACCUCACGAUUUUCUGUGGAGCGUCCUGGAACAGUCCUCAGCAGAUUGUUCAACCAAUGCAGGCCUUCAGCUACUGCUGACUUCCAUUUGUUUUUCAGCAGCUGCAUCUGUGAGAGGAUGAUCAACUUAUUUGAGCAUUCACUUUUUUAUUACUCUUCUCACCAAGUGACAAGUGCUUCAGCCCUGCCUAACCAACUUAUAUCACCUCCUGGAGCCACGGAGACAUUGCCUCCUCAGAGCUGCCUCUUCCUGCUGCUGCUUAUUCCUUCUUGGUCUCCACCAUGUCUCUAGGUUAUGGAGUUCAUCUGAAAUACAGCUCAAGUCCCAGCCAGAAAAAAUAAAUUUUAAAAUAAGUCUACCUAUGCUUUAAGGGCUGGCAUGACAACCUGGCCACCCCAGCAAGACCUCCACCAGCCUGUUUCACCUCUGCUUCUGGAAUCUACACUAGCUGUGAUGAGCUGGGAAUCACUGUGGUUUGAAACAGCUGGACUUCUUUCUAGCAGGUACAAGGAAAUUUGCCCACUUCUUUUAGGAAAUAAAGUAAAGAAUUUAGCUAGGAUUAUGUGUUAUAUCCUGCUCACUGUAUCCUUAUCAUUUUCAAAGUCUCUUCAAGGUAUCUCAUUACAGAAUUCUGUAAGGCCCGUAUUAGAGCUCAUUAAGUGAUUUUUCUCGUACCAGAACUUUGUUCCAAAUCUUCCCAGAUGUCACACUAAAAAGUUCUAAUCCUCAAAAUACAGGAUUGUAUAAAAGAGAAGCAACACCUAAACCUUUUCAGCCAAUUUUAUAAUGCUACCUAUAAACCAUACUCUAUAGAACCUACAUAUCUGCAUCCAAGCUACAUACAUGAGCACAAAGAGUGGUAAAAACUCCUCAGCUUCUCUGACUCAAAGCAAAAUGGUUCCUAUAGCACACACUCAUCCUUUUAUAGCCCCUUUCCUUACCCUCUUUUUUGCUCUGUGAACCCACAGCUUCACAUGGAGAGGAAAUUAAUUAAUUAAUUAACCCCUUACAUACAAGAAAUAAAGCCAUUUCAUAUUUUAUCAUACUUUUGUGAAAAAUAAACUGCUGCAUGAUCAGAGUUCUUGGAGCCAAAGGCUGAGCUAACACCACCCCUGAUUUGGGGACAGGUGUCACAGUCCUUUAAUCUGCAGUAACAGCCUUUAGCUGUAUCACAAUUAACACAAGUCCUUGUGCCAAAGUGUAACGAAUUUGUGUGUUCUCCAUGGACCUGCUUGCAGUCUGAGGUGAGAACUAAUGAAAUGUCAGGGCUACACGAGGAAGACAAGGACAUGGAAGCAGAGGGAAAGAAUAAUAAGAAUACAAGCAUCUGCGUGCAGAGGACAAAUCUGCUCUCUCUCAUGUUAGGCAGACACUUUGUAAGGCAUUGGCAACCGAGCCAUCCCUUUCCUGCAAUCACUCUGUUUAGUUAGGACUGAACCCAAAGGCAGUUUGUACAGGACUUCGUUUGAACACAUCCCUUCAGUUUAUUGUUUUUGUUUUGUUUUGUUUUGUUGUGUUUUUCCUUCUAUGCAUCUUCAUCCUUCAUGGUUGAUUUAGAUUAUGAUGUAAACUAACUGAACGUGACACAGCUGCUCUCUUCAAUAACCAAGGAGAUGCCGGCUGCCACUCACCCUGGCAUGCUGGUGAUUCACAGCAGGGCCUACUGGGCUUAUGGGGGCCCUCUUUUUUGGCAUCUGUCUAUACCAUCCUCAUGCAGUUUGCUGAAACAAAACCAGUGAUGUUAGCAGCAUAUGGGCAGCCAGAAUAGGGGUCAUUUACCUUAUUUGCCAACAAAGUAGAGGACAAGGCCCAGUGGAACAGCAAUAGAUUGAGAAGAGCUGGCGGCAGAGCAGCUGAAGAGGAAACCGUGAGCAGGAAGGAUCCCAGGAGUCACCUCUGCCCAUACGUCCCUUUCCUUUGAAAUGUUUAGUUUAUGAGGUCUGUACAAACUAUUUGGUUUUAAAUUAUAUGAGUUUUGAUCAGCUGAACUGCCUCUGCCAAGCCAAACUCAUAUGGUGGAAAUGGACACCCCACCUCAGAUAUGAAGGCCAACUCCAAAGUUUGCUGAAAGCCGAGAAAGAUUUUGUUGACAAUCAAAUUCAUGUAAGAGCUAACAAAAAAAAAAAAAAAUCACUUCCAUCUGUGUACGGUUUGACUAAUACAGGCUUGGCCUGACACUGGAGAAGCCAAAAAUCUGUCAGGGAUUUGAUCUAAUUGUACAUCUAACCUGACCAGAAGUAAGAAUAAUUGGAAACCUCUCAAGUAGAUUGUUCUUCGUAACUUACUGGGACAAGCCACACACCAUCAGCUUGCACAACCCAACUUCUGCGAACAAAAGCAGUCUGGAUAAUUUUGGAGAAGACACCAAGCAUUCAGACUUACAGAUUAGCUUUCUCUGUCACUGCCAGAAAAAAAUUAGGAACUUAUUUCUGCUGCGUAAUACCUCUAAGGCAUAAGGUUACAGCACUGGACAUGUUUUAACAUACAGGCUAUGCUGAAACAAAGAACUUGAUGAAGGUGGUUAGUGAAGAAAAAUAGCAGAAUAACAGAAUGAUGUCUGCAUAAACCAAGGAUGACAAAUCUGCUGUUACAUGAAAACAUAGGUAUAUGGCACCAUGAAUUUAAAAGGUGUCUCACAUAGUAGACACAGUUCAAAUAUUUAUUAUGACUCAGGUUCAUGAAAAAUUUCCCCCUUUUCAUUAGCAAUUUUUGCCUGCAAAAUUAAACUCACUCAUUGUACUUGUGUUCAUAACAUGCAACUAUUCUACAAAAUGCUACCUCUCUUUCUAUAUCUAUAUAAAUGCUUAUUUAAGUUUCUCGUCUCUUCCCUGUGUAGUUCUUCUUGUAUCCAAGAACAUAUAUAUUUUUAUAAAACCCUCAAUUUUGGGAGUUCACUGCUUCCUAAAAUUGUUUAGGAUUAUAGCCUCAGAUAGCACUAUUUUACUUGACAGUUUUACCAAAAUCUUUGUGUUUUAAAAACUACUUUUCUUGUUGUUUGUUUGUUAUCAAAUUAAUAUUAAAAGGGGGACAUGUAAUUUUAUAUCUAUCUCAAGUUUAUUGAAAUAUAACCACAGGAAAAAAAAAUCACAAUCAGACUUUUUAGUGUUUCAUCAAUUAUAUCAGAAAUAUACAUUAAAAUGCAUUCUUUUCCUUAAACUGUAUGUCUCAGUCUGUAACAGUGUCUGUACCUCUUGAUUGAGUAAAAUGUUUAACAAAUACCUUUAGUGUUUUAAAUAAAACAAAUUACAUAUAAGUAUGAAAAGUAAAAA